Molecule: long non-coding RNA, 13617 nt
Filed under: Panax ginseng (ginseng)
Lineage: Eukaryota; Viridiplantae; Streptophyta; Magnoliopsida; Apiales; Araliaceae
Description: long non-coding RNA (PGIN_LNC009813)
Source: RNAcentral
CCAAAGCUAAAGGGCCCAAAAUUUUUUAAUUUAUAAGCUUAUACAUACAGUCUACAUAACAAUUAAUCUUCUCCUCAAAACUCAAAACUAAACAGUCGGUUCAAAUUUCAAUUGCACGGUUGCAUCGAAAAUAUGCAGAACACGGAACACCGGAAAUUCAAUUGCCGAAAGCCAACGCCUAGAAGCCAACAACAACACCGAAAAUUCUCUUGCAAGUUGCAACCCAAUACCCAUCAGCCAUCAAGUAGAUCUCUAGUACGGUAGUACCGUGACUACCGUCAAACAGGUUCUGCGGCACAGCGGCAGUGUGGCUUCCGCUUCUUAAAAUCUGGUUCUGCUUCAGUGCUUCUUAAAAUUUGAUUCUACUUCUCUUGCUGCGCUCGAUCUCUGACUCUGAGGUAUGUUCUGUAGAUUGUGUUAUGUGUAUCUGACUAUUUGUGUGUUAAUAUUUGUGUGUGAUAGGCAAAGGGUUUGUUUGAAUUUGUUUGUUAGGAAGGAGGAUAAGAAUUCAUGGGCUCCUUUUCCAUGAGUGAGAUUGAAAAAAUAGAGUGUUUGAAUAAUGAAUGUGAGAAGAAAUCAAAAAAUUGAAUGCCCCUGGUUUUGCAGUGAAUAUUGAAAUAUUGAAUGCCCCUGAUUUUGCAGGAUACCAUGAUAGGUCAAGUCAGUAUUUUGUUUAAAAAUUGACAUUUUUUAACUGGAGGCAAAAAUCAUGUAAUUAUCAGGAUAUAAGCAGAAUCAGUUUUGUUUAAAAAUCAUGUUAUUUUUUAAUUUUUUUUGGGAUUUUUGUGGGUAUAAGCAGAAUCAGUUUUGUUUAAAAAUUGACAUUUUUUAACUGGAGGCAAAAAUCAUGUCAUUAUCAGGAUAUCAUGAAUGGGAUUUUUACACCCUCAUUAUCAAUUCCUACAUAUCAAAUUUUUCAUGAGUGAGCAGAGUGUUUGAAUUCAUGGGCUCCUUUUCCAUGAGUGAGAUUGAAAAAGCAGAGCGUUUGAAUUUUGAAGAGAGAAAGAGAGUGUUCUACUUUAAUUUAAUAAAAUAAUUUUUUUGAUUUAACAGUUUUAAAUUUUUUCUGAAUAAUCUAAAAAGAUGUUUUCUGAAUAAAGAUGUUUCAAUUGUUUUUUUUUUGUUUAUUUUCUCCUAUUUUGUAAAUUGUAAUAUAUAUAACAUAUCUGUGUUAACUUUUUCUUAUUUAUUAUUUGAUUCAACAGAAAAUUUGGCUGGGAUUCUUGUUCUUUAUAAUUGGAAGUUUCAAGUGGAAGAAAAUAUACUUAAAAUCCAGGUUUUAUUGUUCUUUGUUAAUUAGUUUUAUUGUUUUUUAUUGUGUUGUGUUUAUUAUAAAAAUUAAAAAAUGCUUUGUAAGAAAUAACUUUCCGGAAAUCUCAAGAGACAAAAAAAGAAAAAAGAAGAAAAAAUUGCUCAAAGUUUAAGAGGAUCUUUGAAUAAAUAUUUUGUUAAACAAACCAAUGCUUCACUUGAAAAUUUAGAUGAAGAUUUACCAAAUGAAUAUGAACAACCAAUUCAAUUGGAAGAAUUAGUAGAAAAUGAGAAUGAUGUGAAUGAAGAAAUUGGUAAUCUAGAUGAAAAUGAAAAUAAUGAUGAACCUUUCCUUGAUGAAAAUGAAAAUAUUGAUGAACCUUGCCAUGAAAAUGAAUGUCCCGAAACAAGAUUUGAUUUGAACAUUUAUGAUCCACGAGUUUGGGAUAAUCUUGAUGUAAAAAUGAGAGAUUUACUUGUAGAAAAAGGUCCCCUAAGAGAAACUAAUCUCAAAUUCCCCAUGGACGAACACAAUAGACAUUUUUCUUUAAAUUAUUAUCUUCGCACNNNNNNNNNNNNNNNNNNNNNNNNNNNNNNNNNNNNNNNNNNNNNNNNNNNNNNNNNNNNNNNNNNNNNNNNNNNNNNNNNNNNNNNNNNNNNNNNNNNNNNNNNNNNNNNNNNNNNNNNNNNNNNNNNNNNNNNNNNNNNNNNNNNNNNNNNNNNNNNNNNNNNNNNNNNNNNNNNNNNNNNNNNNNNNNNNNNNNNNNNNNNNNNNNNNNNNNNNNNNNNNNNNNNNNNNNNNNNNNNNNNNNNNNNNNNNNNNNNNNNNNNNNNNNNNNNNNNNNNNNNNNNNNNNNNNCAUGUGGUUCUCAUUGUCUCAACUUAAUAGUUUGUAAUAUGGCCAAGUCAUGUGUUAAAGCAAAAUCUUUUUUUGGAGCAUGUCAAUGCAUAUAUAUGGUAUUCUCUAAUUCAACAAAGCGAUGAAAUGUGUUACUUGAUUACAUAGAUGGUUUGACUUUGAAAUCAUUGUCUACUACACGUUGGGAAAGUCACAUUGAAAGUGUCAAAGCAAUAAAAUCUCAAGCUUCCCAAAUCAGAGAAGUUUUAUUUAAAUUAACAGAAAUUAGUGAAGAUUCCAAAUUGAGUAGGGAUGCUCAAAGUUUAGCAUUAGGAGAGCUUUCAAGUUUUGAAUUUAUAUUAAGUUUGGUUAUUUGGCAUGACAUUUUGCAUAAGAUUAACUUAGUUAGUAAAAAGUUACAAUCUGAAGACAUGCGUCUUGUUGCUGCUGUACGACAAUUAGAAGGACUUGUUUUAUUUUUUGAAAAUUAUAGAAUAAAUGGGUUUGUUUCAGCCAUGAUUGAUGCUAAAGAAAUUUUUCUUGAUAUGGGAAUUGAGCCAGUAUUUCCAAAAAAGCGUCAAAUUUGUAGAAAAAGGCAUUUUGAUGAGGUUUCCAAUAAUGAUAGGGAACAACAAUCAGUUGAAGAAUCAUUUAGAACUGAUUAUUUUCUUGUUAUAAUGAAUAUUGCUCUUAGUGAAUUGAAGAGUAGGUUUGAACAAUUGCAUUAUUUUGAAUCAAUUUUUGGGUUCUUAUUUGAUGCUGCAAAGUUGACUUCGUUUGAUGAUAAUGAAUUGAAAAGUUCUUGUGUGAAUCUUGAAAAUGCUUUAAAACAUGGUGAUGUUUCUGAUGUUGAUGCAAGAGACUUAUUUUCAGAAUUACAAGUGUUGCAAGUGAUGUUACCAAAAGAAGCAUAUGAAACAAAUAAACCAUGGACAUCCAUUAAAAUUCUUGAGUUUGUAAAGAGUGUGGAUAUGUUUCCUAAUGUAAUGGUUGCUUAUAGGGUAUUAUUGACUAUACCUGUAACUGUGGCAUCUGCUGAAAGAAGUUUUUCUAAAUUAAAAUUAUUGAAAUCUUACUUGCGGACCACCAUGACUCAAGAUAGGCUAAAUGGAUUAGCGAUAUUAUGCAUUGAAAAGGAUAUGUUAGAAAACAUUAAAUAUGAUAAUAUAAUUGAUGAUUUUGCAUCUAAAAGUGCAACAAGAAGACAUUUUAAAUGAUGUUUUGUGGUUUAUAAUUCAUUGUUAUUUUUUGUAGGUACAUGUGAUGAUUCUUUUCUUCGAUUAAUUGUGGAGGAUGAAAAGAAGAUAGAUCAAAUCAACAAAUGCUUAUGGAGAUUCAGGAGGAAGCAUGUAGACUCAAAUAUGUAAGUUUCAUUUUUAAUGCAAUGAUUACAAUCCGGGGUACUCUUUUUCCUUCGUUUGGGGUUUUGUCCCAUUGAGUUUUUCCCAAACAAGGUUUUAAUGAGGCCCCAAAGUGUUCUUCCUUAUCUUUUGUAAAUUCGUAUAAUUUUAAUAAAAUUAAUUAGUUGAUAAUUUAUUUAUUUUUUUGUUUAAUUUGUAUAAAGGGGCACACUUGAUAAAAUUCGCCCUGGGUCUUAGAAAACCCAAGUCCGGCUCUGAUAUGUAUAAAUGAUGUAUGCCCUAUAAAGAUUCAUAGCAAAUACAUAUUAUAUAGAUUAUUACCCUAUAUAUAUAUAUAUAUAUAUAUAUAUAUAUAUAUCUUCAUGUUCAUUUCUAAAUAUAAUUAGUGUUUAAUAUAAUAGCAAUAAAAUUGUGUUUGUUAAACUUUAGGAUAAUAUGUCAUUUUUUAAUAUCAUCAAUGAAAAAGGAAUAUUUUUUGUGGAACAAAUUAUUAUAUAUCAAGUAAUUUUAUCCACUUAGAUAAUUAGAUUUUUGAUCAUUUUUAGAUGAUUGAGCCGCACAAAACAAAUUAAGAGUCAUUUAGGGAGAGCAAGAAUCGAUUUCAGGGCAACCGAAAUUGCACGCAAAAGUAAAAAAAUCGCACCAAUGAUUCCGGUUGUAUAUUGUGGUAUUUUUAAGUAGGAACCAUAUUUUUUACGGUUCCAAUUACGGUUUUGACAUAGAAAUUUCAUUCCUUGAAGAACCACACUGAUUUAGAGUUCUAAAUCUUUAAUGUUUCUCAUGUUUUUGUGUUUAUUCUAGAGGUUUUUAAGUUAUAGUAUUUAAGUAUGAUUGUAAAUUUAAUUUUAUAAUAUAUAAUUAUAAAAUUAAGAAAUUAGAAAGUUCUGUCAGUGCUUCAACCACACGUUUCGGUAACAAGUCGAUAAAUGUCACAGGGAUCAACUUCUGCAUGAAUAUGUCACAAUCAUGACUUUUGAGACCCCAAAACUUCAGCUCUUCGACUUUACAAUACCUUGCUAUAUUCGAAGAAUAUCCAUCUGGGAGCUUCAGUCCACUGAUCCAAUUACAUAUCAAUAUCAACUGUUCCCUGGUCAAAGUAUAUUCAGCUUUAGGCGUUACCGUCUUACUACCCUCCUGAUACAGCCACGGAUCUUCCCUAAUGUUCAUUUCUACCAAAUCAAGCCUCGACUUGCUGUUGUCCUUUGUUCUACCAGUGACAUCUAGGACUGUAUAAAAAAUGUUAUCAAAUACGUUCUUCUUAGUAUGCAUCGGAUCUAAACAAUGACAGAUGCAGAGUGUAGCCCAAUAAGGCAGGUCAAAGAACAUGGAUCUGUGUGUCCAGUUGUGAAUCUUGUCGUAACCAUAAGCUCGCUCUAAUCUGUGAUUCUUCCCUGGAGGUGGAAACUUCAAAUGACUAAUCAAACUCAACACUGCUGACCCAGAAAGACGGCCAGGUACUUGACGUUUCUCUGUUUUUCGAUUGAAUUGUCUACUCAUCUGUCGAUAACGAUGUUCAAUCGGUAAAAACUAUUUGGAUGUUGCAAAGAAACUUAUUUCCCCCCCAUGUUUGAGUCGCACAGCUUUAACUGACCCCAUGCACACGGGACAUGACAAGCCCCCAUGAGUCGACCAUCCACUGAUCAUUCCUAACGCCGAAAAGUCAUUUAUUGUCCAUAGUAAAGCUGUCCUCAUUUCAAAGUUCUGCUUAAGAGAUACAUCAUAAGUUUGAACCCCUAUUUCCCACAAUAUCUUCAACUCAUCAACUAACGACCUGAGGUAUACAUUGAUGUCUUUACUCGGACUCUUAUCACCCGGAAUCAGUAAAGGCAUGAACAUGUAGGGAUUUUUCAUGCACAUCGAAGGCGGGAGGUUAUACACCACAAUAAUCACCGGCCAAGUUGAGUAGGGCUUUGUGUAAGGCCCGUUAAACGGAUUAAACCCAUCCGUAGCAAGUCCAAGCCUAACAUUGCGAACCUCUUCAGCAAAUGAGGGGUGCUUGUUAUCAAAAUUUUUCUACUCAAGCCUAUCUGCCGGGUGCGUCAGUUGACCUUCGACUAUGUCUCGUGUAGAGUGCCACCUCAUAUCCUCGGCGGUAUGUGUUGACAUGAACAACCGCUGAAGCCUCGGGGCAAUGGAAAAGUAACGUAAGAUCUUUCUCGACACGUCUUUUCCCUUUUCUUGCGCUGUUCGCAGUAUCUACUUGUACCACAAAUAUCACAUGACCUCUUAUCUUUAUUGACAUCACCGUAAUACAACAUACAGUCAUUCUCACAAGCAUCACCGUAAUACAACAUACAGUCAUUCUCACAAGCAUCAAUCUUCUCAUACCCUAGAUUGAGCCUUUUGACCAUUUUCUUCACAUCAUAGUACGACUCCGGUAACUUAUUGCCUGCAGGUAAGCACUCCUUCACAAUGCUUAACAGUUCAUUAAAACCUCUCUCGCUACAGUCAUGCUUGUUCUUGAAGUGUAAAAACUUAGUCACGACAGAUAAGACGGUGUGUUUUUCGUGCCCGUCAUAUAGUGGCGUCGCUGCUUCAUGCAAUAACUCAUAGAAACCCUUAGCCCCGUCAUUCGGUUCUUGCUCGACACUACUGUCAUCCCUGUCUGUAUUCCACUGGAAGUAUGAACCAACAACUUCGACUAUCAUGUUAGUACAGUCAAAGGUUUCAUCACCUCUAGAUUCUGAUUUUGAUUCAUGUUCAUCCAACCAGGUUUCCCCAUGAUAGAUCCAUGUCGUAUAACCCUGCUUGAACCCAUAUGCAAAUAAGUUGCACAUGAAUCACUCCUUUCCUUCCACACUUCAUUCACACACCUCUUACAAGGACAUCUGAUCUCAUCGCCGCUGACUUGCUCAAACGCGAAGUUGAGAAACUGUUUAACCCCACUACGAUACUCAGAGCUAAGCCCACUCUUAUCAGUGGCUACCCUACGUUCCAUCCAACUUCGAUCAACAAACAUCUCGGACAACUGUCUGCUAUAUAUAUGGAAAGUCAGACAAACACAAUCAAGUCUCCAAGUUAAUGUAUAUGCAAGCUUAUGAGUUUCCUAACUUCAUCUCCACCUCUAAUGGGUCAGUCUUCUAUCCCAUUCCCGGAUGUGUCGCCUCACUGAUGCCAACAACUUGAACACCUCUUUAAAUUUUUCAGAAAUUUCGGCAGCACCUCCCCAUGGUCUUCAAGUACACGAAAUAGACUAACACAUCGUAAUCUAAAUAUGCACUCGAAGAACAUCAAGAGAUAUAUACUGACCGAAAAUUCAAAAAUAUAAAGACGUGCUCAAGUCGUUAACACCGACCUAAGUGAGAUCAAAAUAUACAAGAACAGUCCCAAAACGGGGACUAUUUGAGAUUCACUCAUACUAAGUGAAUCUCAAACGGGUUUUUAAGCUUCCUAAACUAUAUGAAAAUAUGCACAUAUGAAAUUGAACUCUUUCCUAGAACAAAAGGAAUACAAUCUUGAGAAUGGAUUAUGAACCACAAUAAAAGAAACAAAGACAUGGUAAUUUAUAUUGAGAAAGCAUUAUAUUCGUUUCAAAUAAAUGUAUCUCAAUAACAUAGAUGUAUCUCAACCAAAAGUACACAUGUUAUACUUUCCAAAUUGGACUGAUUUCCUUUGACAUAAAAGCUCAUCAACACAUAAAAUGACCAUGUCUAACCAUAAAACAUCAUAUAACAUAUAGAUCUACCAUCAUAUAACUGAGAAAUAUAAACUCAUCAUUUGAUUUAAAACAACCAUAGACAAUCACGUAAAUCUAACUAGGGUUUUGAGAUAAGUAAACUUUUGAACCUUGAUUUAGUGUCACCUCUUCUUCUUCUUCCAAUGUAGGUUAUAAAGCUUGAAGGCAUGAACCAAAUCUCCUCUCCUUCUCUUCCUUAAUGUUUCGGCAGCCCCCUCCCUUUUCUCUCUCAAAGUAUAUUGCUAUAUAGAUUUUUGGAACUUAAGAAGAGAAAAUGAACUAAACUUUUUGAACUCGAAAUGUUUGCUAAUUUUACAACUUUAUUUACAAUAAACCACGUUCAACUAAACACAAAACUGUCAAGUACUAAACUACCCUUACUCUUCUUUUUCAUUAUAUAUUCACUUUUUUACCAAGCGUGGGUGUUCUGGUUUGGUCUAUUUUACAAGUGAAGUUAACAUUUUUCAAAUUUUUUUUUAUAAUUCUUUAAAAUUAAAAUAUACAAGAGUAUAAGAUCUUAGAAAGAAAUAAAAGAAUUGUUUAAUUAAAAUAUAUAAUUGUAUACGAUUUUAGAACGGAAUAGAAUGGAGAAGACAAAGCACUUGUAUUUGUCUACACAUUAAAAAUAAUAAAUUUAAUGUUUGCUUUAAUUAUAUUUAAUAUUUCAUUUAUUAAAAGUAUUCCUAUUUGUAUAUAUUAUAUUAACCCUAACGACAUCCCUAUUAAGAAAAUAAGAAUACAUAAAUUUUCAUAGAGGUAAUGUACAAUCUGUUUAUAUUCUGUCUCUAAUUUCAUUUUUUUGUUCAAUAAAUCAGCAUACCAAUUACCUCCUCGCCAACAAGUUAGACUCCCACUCUCUAUUCAACAAAUCACGAAUUCUCCAAAUCAAUGAAAAAUUCGAAUAUUCAUUAAUAGCAAUAAAAAAUAAAUUAAGUGAAUCAGUGAUUUUACUUGCAAUAUUAAACAUAUAUACAUGAACUGACAUGCAUAAUACUCUAAAAAAAAGAAAGGAGAUAAAAGAAAAACUUACAAAAGAGAGAGAGAUGCAGAGAAGGUCAAUGCUCGUUGCUUACUUCCCAAAACAAGACAUACAGGUAUUAGGAAAAAAAAACUCAAAUUAAACCCUAACAUAACUAAAUUGGAACUUAUAUACAAAUGAAACCUUAAGAAGAAAAAAAGUGCAACUUACUAAUGGAAGCCAACAAUAACAAAUGUAGAACCAGAGCUGAGAGGGAACGAAAAUUGGGGGAGAUUAUAACAGUGUAUCAGGCCAAAGUAAGGGGAGGAAGAAAGGGGGAGGCCAGAUGGUGGAGGACCAACGGCGGGGACCGACGACGGCAAACGACGGCGAGAAGCGACGACGAGGACUGACGACACAGUGGUGGCGAGAGAAACAAAGGGAAGGAACAAAACGAGAGAGGGAAUGUGACGCCCCCAAAAUAGGUAUACAUCACCUAUCUUGAGUCGCCAAAUACAUGGUACAAAAUUCAAAUACAACUUAAUUAUACAACAGUCGUGUAAAAUACGACAACACAUAAUCUAAGAGUUUUAAUAAGAAUAUUGUCAUCUAGACAAUAUCCACACUCAAUGGAGUCCUCAUUACAUUUAUUGUCACACUAUUUAACACAAUAGUGAAUACUACUAAUGCUAUCAUUUAGACUGUCACUCCGUUCUCCGACUAGUCCCGGCUACGUUCUCAUUUCCUGAAGAGAACAGUGAAAGAAAGGGUGAGCUCAACUAGGCCAGUAAGAAAUAUUAUGACUAAGAUAAUGCAGAAUAAAUUAUCAUUAGUCUUCAACAAUGUUAAACUGAUAAAAUACAAUAGACAUCAAGUUUAACUGCAGCGGAAUAAGCAAUCCAUUAGAAGAGUCAAGUAGAGCAUGAUAUCUACUAUCUUCUAUGAUUUAAAAUGUUUUCAUCAAUUUUUAUCGCUGAGACUCAGCUUAAUAAAUAAACCACAUCAUCGAGUCAUCCCUGCACUACGGGCCAAGGAUAUUCAUUAAAUCAUCAAUGGUCAUGACUAUACCGAAUAAUCCCUGGUCAUAAUCAUACCAAAAACUGUCCAUCAAUGCACUACAGGCCACUGAGGACUUUUACCACAUCAUUUAUAACAUUACAGGUCAUGAUUAUAUCGAAUAAUCCCUGGUCAUAAUCAAACCAAGUACAUCUAUGCACGUAAGUCAAAGAUGACUUUCAUCACAAUAUAAGCAUGAAGAUGAUGACAAUGACAUAAUAAUUCAAUAAAGCAAGUUCAAGAAUAAAUUUUAAAGAUUUAUAAGUUAAUUUAUCUUGAAAUCAAUUACGUCCAAAUUGUCAACAUGAUACUGCUUUGUGGAGUAAAAUUCAAGAAUGCUCAGAAAAAUAUUCCAUGAAAAGAUAUCGGAUGAAGCGUAAAUAUCCAGGAUAUUCUACUAAUUUUAUGGAGUAUAGAAGCCAAAAUUUUAAUCAAAUGAGUAUCAUAGAAUAUAUGAAACUGCAAAUAGAUUUUCACCCGCCAUGCGGUAAUCCACGUAGACAGAUCAUUUUCAUAAUUUAAUAAGAAAUGAAUACGAAGGAUCAUUCACCAUGCAUCUGAUAAUCCACAUAGACAGGUUAUUCUAACAAAAUAAUAAAGAAUGGAACCAGGUCAUGCGUAAUCCGCACAGACAGGAUAUUCCAACAGAAUAAUAAAGAAUGGAAUAAUAGAAGAAUUUUACCAUAUAUGCGGUACUUCGCAUAGACAGGUUAUUCCAACAGAAUAAUAAAGAAUGGAAUAACAAAGAAUUCACCAUGCAUGCGAUAGACCACACAGACAGGUUAUUCUAACAGAAUAAUAAAGAAUGGAACCAGGUCUAGCGUAAUUCGCACAGACAGGAUAUUCCAACAGAAUAAUAAAGAAUUGAAUAACAAAGAAUUCACCAUGCAUACGACAGACCGCACAAACAGGUUAUUCCAACAGAAUAAUAAAGAAUGGAACCAGGUUUAGCGUAAUUCGCACAGACAGGAUAUUCCAAUAGAAUAAUAAAGAAUGGAAUAAUAGAAGAAUUUUACCAUAUAUGCGGUACUUCGCAUAGACAGGUUAUUCCAACAUAAUAAUAAAGAAUGGAAUAACAGAAGCUCUCUUCAUGAAUAUGAAAGAAAUAAUACUCCUUACCUUAGAAAGAAACUGGAUACUGGAGUAGAGAGGUAGCAGACUUCUCUUCUUCUUUCUCUCUAUAAUAAUUGCUCUAUAACUUUUGUGAAUUGGUGAGAAUGAAGGAAGAAUGAACUUCUAUUUAUAGAAAAAUAUAGUUUUGAUAAUUGCACGUUUUGGGGCUCAAAAUAUUACAGUACAAUACCUUCAACUUUUCAUUCAUUUUUAAUUUAGUCAUGCAAGUAUUAUCAAACUUGCACCACCUUCCCUAAUAGUAAAUAAUGUGAAUCAAUAGUUCAAUCAUGUGAAUCAAUAGUUAUAAUCAUGUGAAAAUACGAAUUACAGUAUAGUACCUCCAUCUAUACCUCCAUUUUUAACUUAGUCAUGCAAGUAUUAUCAAUCUUGCACCAACUCCCCUAAUAGUACAAGAAUGUGAAUCAAUAGUACACACAUGUGAACAAAUAGUUAUAAUCAUGUGAAUUAAUAGCAAUUAAUUGCUCAUUUAUCCGAUUAAUUACCCGACUGGUCAGUAUAACUUCCAGACAUCAAUUAAUAUCGAAAUAAAUGUCGAUUUCCACUAACACUAAUAAUUCCAACACAAUGGAACUAUCAAUUUCAUCUUUAAUCAACACGAACUUAUUCAUCAUUAAUAUUAUAACUCACAAUAUUUAACAACCAGGUCGUUCCCAGGAAAGAGGGGGCUUUCCGAUAAGGAUUUCUCCUUAUUGGCGCGCAAUUAGAUUACCAAAUCAGUCCUUGGCAGAACUUCUAGACAUUGUAAAUAUUGCAAUUUAAUAAUAUGAAUAACUUUGUCGUCUCAAUUAUUGAUUUAAUAAUAUAUCAUAUUAUGCAGAUGAUACUGUGACAAUAAUCGAAUCAAUAAUAUGAGAGAUAUGAUGCAGCAAUUACUGUAGCAAUAAUUGAGUAUAACUAAGUGACUUCUCACGUAAGCAUCAAUAAUCAAUACCGUGUGCUACUAUGCAACCACGCGUAUUACUGUACUUUUACUACCAGAUAGUUCAACAGUUUAACGGUAAAAUUUACGCCGUUAUUUUUAUAAAAAGAUAAUUAUGUUGUUUUCUAACUACGACAAUACUUCCGUUGUGGGGUCCACCAAUGAUUGUGCCGUCAUACGAAUAUUCUCUGUUAAAACAAAUAUUCCUCGACCAAUCGAAUAUUAUAUAACCACUUGCUUACUUUGCAAAAUUUGUAAAUAUUACCCACAACUAUAACAUUAUAUCAAAUCCAUACCAUAAUAUUCAAAAAUAUAUUUCGAGAAAAUUAUUCUUUAUUCAUAAAAGUUGGGGUCUUACAGGGAAAUAAAAUGGAGAGGAAAAAGAAAUUGAAUCUGACGAAUUAAAAAUAAGACCUCAUUCUCGACGGCAUGUGCCGUCGUUCACCCAUGAGUCAUUCACGACGGUGAUACCGUCGGCAUUGACAUACAUAGCUGUCACCAAUGAGUUUUCCCUCCACCGCCAAAUUUUCGCACCUUUUUUUCCUUAGUAAAGUGUUAUUAUCGACGGCACCCAUUAGCGACGACUGUCCCGUCGGCAUUAAAGUCAUUCUCGACAGUACAUAAGCGGUCGCCAAUAACCCCGUCGCCUAUGACUGUUUUUUUUUGUAGUGUAAUUUUGCAUGGUUUAAUACUUUAAGUUUGAAAUAAUGAUUGUAUUGUAUUAAUGUAUGCAUCUUUAGAAUGUGUAUGGUACUAAUUAACUUUAAGUUUUCUAAUUUGAGGAAUUAAUUAAAAAUUUAAAAUUAAUUUAUAAUUGAUUUUUAAAAUUUUAACUUUUUAUAGCGGGUAUUAUAUAUAUAUAUAUAUAUAUAUAUAUAUAUAAUAGCAAACCAAUAAUUUUUGAGAUUUAUUUGAAAUUUAAAAAUUACAACAUGUUUGAAAAGUACAAAGAAGUAUUAUAACUUUGUAACUCAAAAUAGUUUCACUCUAAAAUAAUUUCCAAAGCAACCCGCCGCACGGGUUACCAGCUAAUUCAAAACGGACUCCAUCUAAAUAACAAAAGCUGAGCUGGUUUGUCAAAUUCUACUAGUAAUAAGCAACCUUCUAGGGUCAUACCAGUCAUUUCACCGUUCCAGAAUUUCAUAAGCAUCACGUUUUAAAGCCUCCCUUCCACCGUUUAAACUUCAGAACUCAGACACAGAGAGAGAGAAAAACCAACUCUCCCAAUUCCCCGCCUUUUUUCUGAGUUUUCAAUUUUAUUCUAUUUCUAUAUAAGAUUUUUAGGGAGAGAAAGUACAUAUAUAUAUAUAUAUAGAGAGAGAGAGAGAAGGUGUAGGUGAAGAUGAAGAAGAACAAUGAGGGAGGAGGCUCUGCUUAUGCUUGUGAUGCGGCUUGUGCUUAUGUGCUGAUCACGAUAUUCCUGGUGAUUGCGUUCAUCUUCUCCGGCCAAUUCUUCGGUUCGUCGGCGGUCUUUUUUGGUGACAAAUCCGAGUUCAGAGUUCCGAUCGUCGAGUUGCAGACUAAGCUUCCCGAUCAUAACGAAGUCCGACCAGAUGUUUCAUCUGAUGAUUUCACUUCAUCUAUUCAAAAUCGAACCGUAAUUGUAAUCACUUUCUCUCACUCUCUCUUCUGAUUCAUCGAAUCUCCAUUCUGAAAUUAAUAAUCACUACUCAAUGCUAUAUUUAUGCUUAUCUCUAUAUAUCUCUGUUCUGAACGGGUAAAAAAUUGGUAGAUGGUAAGUAAGUGAGGGUAGGAUCAUCUGAAUUAUGAGGAAUCUCUCUCACGCACUUGUGUGUUAUGUGUGUGAGCUGUUCAUUUGUAAUUAUGCUUAAUUCUGUUUUAAAUUACAUUUUUGAAUCCUAAUGUUCAAAAUAAAGUUUUCUGUCUCUCACGCACCACUGUGUUUUUGUGUGUGAGCUGUUCAUAUGUAAUUAUGCCUAAUUCUUUACACUAUAUUAUUUGGAUCAUAAUUUGCAGAAUCAAUUCCAUAAUACAUGCUUGAGUUUCAAAAACUUAUUUAUUGAUUCCGGACUGUGAAAGUUCAUUCAAUUUGUGUGUUGCCAAUUUCUAUGAAUUUUUAUAUUUUUGUAAAAGAUGAGCUGUUCAUACGUAACUAUGCCUAAUUAUGUUUUGGAUUACUUUUUUUUUAUUGUAAUUUUAACUUUUUGAUGUUAAGUUAGUAAUAUAAUUAAAUGUUUAAGUUUCAAAAACUCAAUUCAUUGAUUCCGGAUUGUGAAAUUAAGUUCAUUCAAUUUUUUGUGUGUAAACAGUUUGUAACAAUUCUAAUUUAAAUUGUAGAGAGAAAACGAUAUACUAGAACAAGGACUCGCCCGAGCUCGAGCUUCUAUUCAAGCUGCUUCUAUAAGAAAUCUAUCGACCGUUCGCGCCAGUACUAUCUACCGUAACCCCUGUGCAUUUUAUCAG